CUGAGCCACCCAGGCACCCCUCAAGAUCUGUAAGUUUUGCCUAAACUGCAGUGAACAGAGAUGUCUGAAGUUAUGUAAAGUCUAAACAACACUAUUUCUAAUACAAAACACCACAGACCUAACAAACUCAGCCUAGCUGCCAUGGAACAGGGGUAUUCUCCACAAAGGGCAUGCUGUGCUGGGUCUGCUGCUGCUGACAGGUAAAAACCACUCUGCAUCGCCCAGUCCUACCUUAA
This is a long non-coding RNA of Neogale vison (American mink), 236 nucleotides long. RefSeq lists it as uncharacterized. Lineage: Eukaryota; Metazoa; Chordata; Mammalia; Carnivora; Mustelidae. The transcript has 3 exons. The record is from RefSeq and is a predicted model, not a curated record.